UACGGGAGGCAGCAGUGGGGAAUAUUGCACAAUGGGCGAAAGCCUGAUGCAGCUAUGCCGCGUGUAUGAAGAAGGCCUUAGGGUUGUAAAGUACUUUCAUCGGGGAGGAAAAACAAAACUAAUAAUUUUAUUUCUUGACGUUACCCGAAAAAGAAGCACCGGCUAACUCCGUGCCAGCAGCCGCGGUAAUACGGAGGGUGCUAGCGUUAAUCAGAAUUACUGGGCGUAAAGAGCACGUAGGUGGUUUUUUUAAAGUCAGAUGUGAAUCCCUGGGCUUAACCUAGGAACUGCAUUUUGAAACUGAAAUACUAGAGUAUCGUAGAGGGAGGUAGAAUUCUAGGUGUAGCGGUGAAAUGCGUAGAUAUCUGGAGGAAUACCUGUGGCGAAAGCGGCCUCCUAAACGAAUACUGACACUGAGGUGCGAAAGCGUGGGGAGCAAACAGG
RNAcentral lists this ribosomal RNA (444 nucleotides) under uncultured bacterium. RNAcentral's name for it is "bacterial SSU rRNA". It matches the Rfam family "Bacterial small subunit ribosomal RNA", at positions 340 to 776 of the family's 1533-position model. The record is from RNAcentral.